AGUGAACGCUGGCGGCAGGCCUAACACAUGCAAGUCGAACGGCAGCGGGUCAGUAGCAAUACUGAUGCCGGCGAGUGGCGGACGGGUGAGGAAUACAUCGGAAUCUACCUUGUCGUGGGGGAUAACGUAGGGAAACUUACGCUAAUACCGCAUACGAACUAUGGUUGAAAGCGGCGGACCGCAAGGCGUCGCGCGAUUGGAUGAGCCGAUGUCCGAUUAGCUAGUUGGCGGGGUAAAGGCCCACCAAGGCGACGAUCGGUAGCUGGUCUGAGAGGAUGAUCAGCCACACUGGAACUGAGACACGGUCCAGACUCCUACGGGAGGCAGCAGUGGGGAAUAUUGGACAAUGGGCGAAAGCCUGAUCCAGCAAUGCCGCGUGAGUGAUGAAGGCCUUAGGGGUUGUAAGGCUCUUUUACCCGGGAUGAUAAUGACAGUACCGGGAGAAUAAGCUCCGGCUAACUCCGUGCCAGCAGCCGCGGUAAU
This 483-nucleotide ribosomal RNA is filed under the name uncultured bacterium. RNAcentral describes it as "bacterial SSU rRNA". It matches the Rfam family "Bacterial small subunit ribosomal RNA", at positions 29 to 524 of the family's 1533-position model. The record is from RNAcentral.